Molecule: small nuclear RNA, 190 nt
Filed under: Dasypus novemcinctus (nine-banded armadillo)
Lineage: Eukaryota; Metazoa; Chordata; Mammalia; Cingulata; Dasypodidae
Description: U2 spliceosomal RNA (ENSDNOG00000028120.1)
Rfam family: U2 spliceosomal RNA
About the family: U2 is a small nuclear RNA (snRNA) component of the spliceosome (involved in pre-mRNA splicing).
Source: RNAcentral
ACUGCUUCUCAGCUUUUUGGGUAAGAUCAAGUAUAGUUAUCUGUUCUUAUCAGUUUAAUAUCUGAUAUGUCCUGUAUUUGAGGACAGCAUAUUAAAUUGAUUUUGGGAACAGGAAGGUGAAAAGGGGCUUGCUCCAUUCACUCCACACAUCAAUCUGGUAUUGCAUGCUUCCAGGAAUGGUGCAACCACA